This 406-nucleotide ribosomal RNA is filed under the name uncultured bacterium. Its description in RNAcentral is "partial 16S ribosomal RNA". It matches the Rfam family "Bacterial small subunit ribosomal RNA", at positions 30 to 526 of the family's 1533-position model. The record is from RNAcentral.
AUUGAACGCUGGCGGCAGGCCUAACACAUGCAAGUCGAGCGAGCGGCGGAUGGGUGAGUAAUGUCUGAGAACCCGCCUGAUGGAGGGGGAUAACCACUGGAAACGCUAGCUAAUACUGCAUACCAUCAGACGUGCCCAGUUGGGAUUAGCUAGUAGGUGGGGUAACGGCUCACCUAGGCGACGAUCCCUAGCUGGUCUGAGAGGAUGACCAGCCACACUGGAACUGAGACACGGUCCAGACUCCUACGGGAGGCAGCAGUGGGGAAUAUUGGACAAUGGGCGCAAGCCUGAUGCAGCCAUGCCGCGUGUGUGAAGAAGGCCUUCGGGUUGUAAAGCACUUUCAGCGGGGAGGCGGUACCCACAGAAGAAGCAACGGCUAACUCCGUGCCAGCAGCCGCGGUAAUAC